GACGAACGCUGGCGGCGUGCUUAACACAUGCAAGUCGAACGGAAAGGCCCUGCUUGCAGGGUACUCGAGUGGCGAUCGGGUGAGUAACACGUGGGUGAUCUGCCCUGCACUUCGGGAUAAGCCUGGGAAACUGGGUCUAAUACCGGAUAGGAGCCAUUUUUAGUGUGAUGGUUGGAAAGUUUUUUCGGUGUAGGAUGAGCUCGCGGCCUAUCAGCUUGUUGGUGGGGUAAUGGCCUACCAAGGCGGCGACGGGUAGCCGGCCUGAGAGGGUGGACGGCCACAUUGGGACUGAGAUACGGCCCAGACUCCUACGGGAGGCAGCAGUGGGGAAUAUUGCACAAUGGGCGCAAGCCUGAUGCAGCGACGCCGCGUGGGGGAUGACGGCCUUCGGGUUGUAAACUCCUUUCGCUAGGGACGAAGCUUUUUGUGACGGUACCUAGAUAAGAAGCACCGGCUAACUACGUG
RNAcentral lists this ribosomal RNA (465 nucleotides) under uncultured bacterium. Its description in RNAcentral is "partial 16S ribosomal RNA". It matches the Rfam family "Bacterial small subunit ribosomal RNA", at positions 28 to 507 of the family's 1533-position model. The record is from RNAcentral.